RNAcentral lists this ribosomal RNA (270 nucleotides) under uncultured archaeon. RNAcentral's name for it is "partial 16S ribosomal RNA". It matches the Rfam family "Archaeal small subunit ribosomal RNA", at positions 477 to 747 of the family's 1478-position model. The record is from RNAcentral.
CUGCAGCCCGAGUGGUGAUCGAUUUUAUUGAGCCUAAAGCGUCCGUAGCCGGACUAGUAAACCCUUGGGUAAAUUGGGCAGCUUAACUGUCCAAAUUCCGAGGGGACUGCUAGUCUUGGGACCGGGAGAGGUCAGAGGUACUCAAGGGGUAGGGGCUAAAUCCUGUAAUCCUUUGGGGACCACCAGUGGCGAAGGCGUCUGACUAGAGCGGAUCCGACGGUAAGGGACGAAACCCUGGGGCGCGAACCGGAUUAGAUACCCGUGUAGUCC